This 392-nucleotide ribosomal RNA is filed under the name uncultured bacterium. Its description in RNAcentral is "bacterial SSU rRNA". It matches the Rfam family "Bacterial small subunit ribosomal RNA", at positions 29 to 422 of the family's 1533-position model. The record is from RNAcentral.
AUUGAACGCUGGCGGCGUGCUUAACACAUGCAAGUCGAGCGGUAACAGGCGUAGCAAUACGUGCUGACGAGCGGCGAACGGGUGCGUAAUACAUCGGAAUCUGCCUAGUAGUGGGGAAUAACCCGGCGAAAGCCGGGCUAAUGCCGCAUACGAUCCACGGAUGAAAGCGGGGGACUUUCGGGCCUCGCGCUAUUAGAUGAGCCGAUGUCGGAUUAGCAGUUGGUGAGGUAACGGCUCACCAAGGCGACGAUCCGUAGCUGGUCUGAGAGGACGGCCAGCCACACUGGGACUGAGACACGGCCCAGACUCCUACGGGAGGCAGCAGUGGGGAAUAUUGGACAAUGGGGAAACCCUGACGCAGCGACGCCGCGUGGGUGAUGAAGGCCUUCGGU